AUUUGGAUCAUACGCGUAUGGUCAUGACCAUAUACGUAUACUCAUAUGGUAAAACCAUAUGUGUAUAAUACUCGUUUGGUUAUUAAUGGGCCGGACCAUAUGAGUAUUGGGACCAUAUAGGUAUUUGUUUUUAAAUUACUUUAUAAAAGUUUCAAUAAUACAAAAACUUUAUCUAAAAAAAAACAAUGAUGGUUACAUGACAAUGUAUUAUUUUUAUAAUUAAAAUACUACGUAAAAAUUAAAUAGUGAUGCCAUAGUGAG
This 261-nucleotide long non-coding RNA is filed under the name Mytilus galloprovincialis (Mediterranean mussel). Lineage: Eukaryota; Metazoa; Mollusca; Bivalvia; Mytilida; Mytilidae. The record is from RNAcentral.